GGAUGCGAUCAUACCAGCAUUAAAGCAAUGGAUCCCAUCAGAACUCUGAAGUUAAGCGUGCUUGGCCCAAAGUAGUACUAGGAUGGGUGACCUCCUGGGAAGUCCUCGUGUUGCAUUCC
Non-coding RNA from Triticum aestivum (bread wheat), 119 nucleotides. The record is from Rfam. Lineage: Eukaryota; Viridiplantae; Streptophyta; Magnoliopsida; Poales; Poaceae.